AGGGUGUUGGUCGAUUAAGACAGCAGGA
Molecule: small nuclear RNA, 28 nt
Filed under: Arabidopsis thaliana (thale cress)
Lineage: Eukaryota; Viridiplantae; Streptophyta; Magnoliopsida; Brassicales; Brassicaceae
Description: snRNA_11045
Source: RNAcentral